CAAAUAACUUAACGAAUCGCAUCGGCUUGCGCCGGCGAUGGUUCAUUCAAAUUUCUGCCCUAUCAACUUUCGAAGUGAGGGUAGUGGCCUCACUUGGUGGUCUACGGGUAACGGGGAAUUAGGGUUCUAUUCCGGAGAGGGAGCCUGAGAAACGGCUACCACAUCCAAGGAAGGCAGCAGGCGCGCAAAUUACCCAAUCCUAAUUCAGGGAGGUAGUGACAAUAAAUACUGAUGAUGAGCUCCUUUGGGUUUAUCAAUUGGAAUGAGUACAAUUUAAAUACCUUAACGAGGAACAAUUGGAGGGCAAGUCUGGUGCCAGCAGCCGCGGUAAUUCCAGCUCCAAUAGCGUAUAUUAAAGUUGUUGCAGUUAAAAAGCUCGUAGUUGAAACUUGGGUCUGGCUGACCGGUCCGCCUAACCGCGUGAACUGGCUCGGCCGGGCCUUUCCUUCUGGCUAGCCUUAUGCCCUUCAUUGGGUGUGCAGGUGAACCAGGACUUUUACUUUGAAAAAAUUAGAGUGUUCAAAGCAGGCCUAUGCUCGAAUACAUUAGCAUGGAAUAAUAGAAUAGGACGUGCGGUUCUAUUGUGAGGUUUCUAGGACCGCCGUAAUGAUUAAAAAGGAACAGUCGGGGAGAUCUGUAUUUUCAAAGUCAGAGGUGAAAUUCUUGGAUUUUGAAAAGACAAACUACUGCGAAAGCAUUUCUCAAAGGAUGUUUCAUUAAUCAGUGAACGAAAGUAGGGGAUCGA
Molecule: ribosomal RNA, 745 nt
Filed under: uncultured fungus
Lineage: Eukaryota; Fungi
Description: SSU rRNA
Rfam family: Eukaryotic small subunit ribosomal RNA
Source: RNAcentral